This 373-nucleotide ribosomal RNA is filed under the name uncultured prokaryote. RNAcentral describes it as "bacterial SSU rRNA". It matches the Rfam family "Bacterial small subunit ribosomal RNA", at positions 524 to 896 of the family's 1533-position model. The record is from RNAcentral.
UACGGAGGGAGCUAGCGUUGUUCGGAAUUACUGGGCGUAAAGCGUACGUAGGCGGCUAUUCAAGUCAGAGGUGAAAGCCCGGGGCUCAACCCCGGAACGGCCUUUGAAACUAGAUAGCUAGAAUCUUGGAGAGGUCAGUGGAAUUCCGAGUGUAGAGGUGAAAUUCGUAGAUAUUCGGAAGAACACCAGUGGCGAAGGCGACUGACUGGACAAGUAUUGACGCUGAGGUACGAAAGCGUGGGGAGCAAACAGGAUUAGAUACCCUGGUAGUCCACGCCGUAAACGAUGAUAACUAGCUGUCCGGACACUUGGUGUUUGGGUGGCGCAGCUAACGCAUUAAGUUAUCCGCCUGGGGAGUACGGUCGCAAGAUUA